MicroRNA precursor from Equus asinus (donkey), 104 nucleotides. The record is from Ensembl. NCBI's taxonomy places the organism in Eukaryota, Metazoa, Chordata, Mammalia, Perissodactyla, Equidae.
UUGGAAUUUAGACAAAUAAUGAAGAAUUUUUUAGUGUAAGUAUGUCUUAUGCAAUAUUUGGGACAUACUUAUGCUAAAAAAUUUAUUAGUUAUCUGAAAUUCAA